Molecule: ribosomal RNA, 252 nt
Filed under: uncultured bacterium
Lineage: Bacteria
Description: partial 16S ribosomal RNA
Rfam family: Bacterial small subunit ribosomal RNA
Source: RNAcentral
GCAAGUCGAACGCGAAAUUUUUUCCUCGGAGAAAAGAGUAGAGUGGCGCACGGGUGAGUAACGCGUACGUUAUCUACCCUCCCAUCUGGAAUAACUAACCGAAAGGUGUCCUAAUACCGGAUACGUUGGAAACAAGAAAGGUGGCCUCUAUUUAUAAGCUACCGUGGGGGGAUUAGCUUGCGUAAGAUUAGCUAGUUGGUAGGGUAAUGGCCUACCAAGGCAUCGAUGGUUAGCGGGUCUGAGAGGAUGAUC